AACGAACGCUGGCGGCAUGCCUAACACAUGCAAGUCGAACGAGACCUUCGGGUCUAGUGGCGCACGGGUGCGUAACGCGUGGGAACCUGCCCUUAGGUUCGGAAUAACUCCCCGAAAGGGGUGCUAAUACCGGAUAAUGUCUUCGGACCAAAGAUUUAUCGCCUUUGGAUGGGCCCGCGUUGGAUUAGCUAGUUGGUAGGGUAAAAGCCUACCAAGGCGACGAUCCAUAGCUGGUCUGAGAGGAUGAUCAGCCACACUGGGACUGAGACACGGCCCAGACCCCUACGGGGGGGAGGAGUGGGGAAUAUUGGACAAUGGGCGGAAGCCUGAUCCAGCAAUGCCGCGUGAGUGAUGAAGGCCUUAGGGUUGUAAAGCUCUUUUACCCGGGAUGAUAAUGACAGUACCGGGAGAAUAAGCUCCGGCUAACUCCGUG
Molecule: ribosomal RNA, 433 nt
Filed under: uncultured bacterium
Lineage: Bacteria
Description: partial 16S ribosomal RNA
Rfam family: Bacterial small subunit ribosomal RNA
Source: RNAcentral